CUCAACCAUAGACUCGGCGAAAUUGCACUACGAGUAAAGAUGCUCGUUACGCGCGGCAGGACGAAAAGACCCCGGGACCUUCACUACAACUUGGUAUUGGUGUUCGGUACUGUUUGUGUAGGAUAGGUGGGAGACUGUGAAACUCUAACGCCAGUUAGAGCGGAGUCGUUGUUGAAAUACCACUCUGACCGUAUUGGACACCUAACUUCGAACCCUAAUCGGGUUCAGGGACAGUGCCUGGCGGGUAGUUUAACUGGGGCGGUUGCCUCCUAAAAUGUAACGGAGGCGCCCAAAGGUUCCCUCAACCUGGACGGCAAUCAGGUGUUGAGUGUAAGUGCACAAGGGAGCUUGACUGCGAGACCUACACGUCAAGCAGGGACGAAAGUCGGGACUAGUGAUCCGGCACCCCCGAGUGGAAGGGGUGUCGCUCAACGGAUAAAAGGUACCCCGGGGAUAACAGGCUGAUCUUCCCCAAGAGUCCAUAUCGACGGGAUGGUUUGGCACCUCGAUGUCGGCUCGUCGCAUCCUGGGGCUGGAGCAGGUCCCAAGGGUUGGGCUGUUCGCCCAUUAAAGCGGCACGCGAGCUGGGUUUAGAACGUCGUGAGACAGUUCGGUCUCUAUCCGCCGCGCGCGUCAGAAACUGA
Molecule: ribosomal RNA, 644 nt
Filed under: Mycobacterium lentiflavum
Lineage: Bacteria; Bacillati; Actinomycetota; Actinomycetes; Mycobacteriales; Mycobacteriaceae
Description: bacterial LSU rRNA
Rfam family: Bacterial large subunit ribosomal RNA
Source: RNAcentral